AAAAAAGGUAAGCUACUAAGAGCGAAUGGUGGAUGCCUUGACUGGUAAAGGCGAUGAAGGACGUACUAGACUGCGAUAAGCUACGGGGAGCUGUCAAGAAGCUUUGAUCCGUAGAUUUCCGAAUGGGGCAACCCAAUGUAUAGAGAUAUACAUUACCUAUAUAGGAGCGAACGAGGGGAAUUGAAACAUCUUAGUACCCUCAGGAAAAGAAAUCAAUAGAGAUUGCGUCAGUAGCGGCGAGCGAAAGCGCAAGAGGGCAAACCCAGUGCUUGCACUGGGGGUUGUAGGACUGCAAUGUGCAAGAGGUAAGUUUAGCAGAACAUUCUGGAAAGUAUAACCAUAGAGGGUGAUAGUCCCGUAUGCGAAAAACAAACCUUAGCUAGCAGUAUCCUGAGUAGGGCGGGACACGAGGAAUCCUGUCUGAAUCUGGGUCGACCACGAUCCAACCCUAAAUACUAAUACCAGAUCGAUAGUGCACAAGUACCGUGAGGGAAAGGUGAAAAGAACUGAGGUGAUCAGAGUGAAAUAGAACUUGAAACCAUUUGCUUACAAUCAUUCAGAGCACUAUGUAGCAAUACAGUGUGAUGGACUGCCUUUUGCAUAAUGAGCCUGCGAGUUGUGGUGUCUGGCAAGGUUAAGCAAACGCGAAGCCGUAGCGAAAGCGAGUCUGAAUAGGGCGCUUAGUCAGAUGCUGCAGACCCGAAACGAAGUGAUCUAUCCAUGAGCAAGUUGAAGCUAGUGUAAGAACUAGUGGAGGACUGAACCCAUAGGCGUUGAAAAGCCCCGGGAUGACUUGUGGAUAGGGGUGAAAGGCCAAUCAAACUUCGUGAUAGCUGGUUCUCUCCGAAAUAUAUUUAGGUAUAGCGUUGUGUCGUAAUAUAAGGGGGUAGAGCACUGAAUGGGCUAGGGCAUACACCAAUGUACCAAACCCUAUCAAACUCCGAAUACCUUAUAUGUAAUCACAGCAGUCAGGCGGCGAGUGAUAAAAUCCGUCGUCAAGAGGGAAACAACCCAGACUACCAGCUAAGGUCCCUAAAUCUUACUUAAGUGGAAAACGAUGUGAAGUUACUUAAACAACCAGGAGGUUGGCUUAGAAGCAGCCAUCCUUUAAAGAAAGCGUAAUAGCUCACUGGUCUAGUGAUUUUGCGCGGAAAAUAUAACGGGGCUAAAGUAAGUACCGAAGCUGUAGACUUGUACACAACUUAGAUUAUUUAAGUUUAGAAUAUGAGAAACUAAGUUAUAUGUUUAGUUAUAUUUUUACUGAUUUUUAUAGAGUAAAGAUAGAAAUAAAACUUAGUAAAAUCAGUAAAAAUAUUCUUAGACUAAAGUUAAGUAGUUUAAGUUGUGUGCAAGUGGUAGGAGAGCGUUCUAUUUGCGUCGAAGGUAUACCGGUAAGGAGUGCUGGAGCGAAUAGAAGUGAGCAUGCAGGCAUGAGUAGCGAUAAUUAAUGUGAGAAUCAUUAACGCCGUAAACCCAAGGUUUCCUACGCGAUGCUCGUCAUCGUAGGGUUAGUCGGGUCCUAAGUCGAGUCCGAAAGGGGUAGACGAUGGCAAAUUGGUUAAUAUUCCAAUACCAACAUUAGUGUGCGAUGGAAGGACGCUUAGGGCUAAGGGGGCUAGCGGAUGGAAGUGCUAGUCUAAGGUCGUAGGAGGUUGUACAGGCAAAUCCGUAUAACAAUACUCCGAGAACUGAAAGGCUUUUUGAAGUCUUCGGAUGGAUAGAAGAACCCCUGAUGCCGUCGAGCCAAGAAAAGUUUCUAAGUUUAGCUAAUGUUGCCCGUACCGUAAACCGACACAGGUGGGUGGGAUGAGUAUUCUAAGGCGCGUGGAAGAACUCUCUUUAAGGAACUCUGCAAAAUAGCACCGUAUCUUCGGUAUAAGGUGUGGUUAGCUUUGUAUUAGGAUUUACUCCGAAAGCAAGGAAACUUACAACAAAGAGUCCCUCCCGACUGUUUACCAAAAACACAGCACUCUGCUAACUCGUAAGAGGAUGUAUAGGGUGUGACGCCUGCCCGGUGCUCGAAGGUUAAUUGAUGGGGUUAGCAUUAGCGAAGCUCUUGAUCGAAGCCCGAGUAAACGGCGGCCGUAACUAUAACGGUCCUAAGGUAGCGAAAUUCCUUGUCGGUUAAAUACCGACCUGCAUGAAUGGCGUAACGAGAUGGGAGCUGUCUCAAAGAGGGAUCCAGUGAAAUUGUAGUGGAGGUGAAAAUUCCUCCUACCCGCGGCAAGACGGAAAGACCCCGUGGACCUUUACUACAGCUUGACACUGCUACUUGGAUAAGAAUGUGCAGGAUAGGUGGGAGGCUUUGAGUAUAUGACGCCAGUUGUAUAUGAGCCAUUGUUGAGAUACCACUCUUUCUUAUUUGGGUAGCUAACCAGCUUGAGUUAUCCUCAAGUGGGACAAUGUCUGGUGGGUAGUUUGACUGGGGCGGUCGCCUCCCAAAUAAUAACGGAGGCUUACAAAGGUUGGCUCAGAACGGUUGGAAAUCGUUCGUAGAGUAUAAAGGUAUAAGCCAGCUUAACUGCAAGACAUACAAGUCAAGCAGAGACGAAAGUCGGUCUUAGUGAUCCGGUGGUUCUGUGUGGAAGGGCCAUCGCUCAAAGGAUAAAAGGUACCCCGGGGAUAACAGGCUGAUCUCCCCCAAGAGCUCACAUCGACGGGGAGGUUUGGCACCUCGAUGUCGGCUCAUCGCAUCCUGGGGCUGGAGCAGGUCCCAAGGGUAUGGCUGUUCGCCAUUUAAAGCGGUACGCGAGCUGGGUUCAGAACGUCGUGAGACAGUUCGGUCCCUAUCUGCCGUGGGCGUAAGAAGAUUGAAGAGAUUUGACCCUAGUACGAGAGGACCGGGUUGAACAAACCACUGGUGUAGCUGUUGUUCUGCCAAGAGCAUCGCAGCGUAGCUAAGUUUGGAAAGGAUAAACGCUGAAAGCAUCUAAGCGUGAAGCCAACUCUAAGAUGAAUCUUCUCUAAGCUCUCUAGAAGACUACUAGUUUGAUAGGCUGGGUGUGUAAUGGAUGAAAGUCCUUUAGCUGACCAGUACUAAUAGAGCGUUUGGCUUAUCUUUAAUAAAGCAU
This 3071-nucleotide ribosomal RNA is filed under the name Campylobacter jejuni. RNAcentral's name for it is "23S ribosomal RNA". It matches the Rfam family "Bacterial large subunit ribosomal RNA". The record is from RNAcentral. Lineage: Bacteria; Pseudomonadati; Campylobacterota; Epsilonproteobacteria; Campylobacterales; Campylobacteraceae.